CAUGAGUAUGAGUUUUCGUGUCCAACUUUGAUCGUCUGUUUUAUUUAAAAAAUUUUAUAAUUAGUAUUUUUAUUAUUAUGGGAUGAUAAAAUAUGAGUAGUAAUAUAUGCGUAACUUAUGUUUUUAAUUUUUCUAAAAAUUUUUUUUAAAUAAGACGGACUAUCAAAGUUGAGUAUAGAAAAUCAUAGCUGCACUUAAA
Oryza meridionalis is the source of this 199-nucleotide non-coding RNA. NCBI's taxonomy places the organism in Eukaryota, Viridiplantae, Streptophyta, Magnoliopsida, Poales, Poaceae. The record is from Rfam.